This 111-nucleotide non-coding RNA is filed under the name Trichobilharzia regenti. The record is from RNAcentral. Lineage: Eukaryota; Metazoa; Platyhelminthes; Trematoda; Strigeidida; Schistosomatidae.
GUGCGUGAGAGAAGGAGAGUUGGUUGGCAGUCCCCUGCACAAGGUUGGAUAGGGCACCUGUUGCCCUUUCUCCGGAGGCAUCAAUCUUCCGCUGCAUCGGGCGGCCUUUUU